RNAcentral lists this ribosomal RNA (347 nucleotides) under uncultured fungus. RNAcentral's name for it is "eukaryotic LSU rRNA". The stretch from base 1 to 103 matches the Rfam family "5.8S ribosomal RNA", at positions 53 to 154 of the family's 154-position model. Lineage: Eukaryota; Fungi. The record is from RNAcentral.
GGGCGAUAAGUAAUGUGAAUUGCAGAUUUUCAGUGAAUCAUCGAAUCUUUGAACGCACCUUGCGCUCCUUGGUAUUCCGAGGAGCAUGCCUGUUUGAGUGUCAUUAAUAUACCAACCUCUUUAAAUUUUGAGAGUGUUUGGAUGUGGGGUGUUAUUUUGCUGGCCUUCUCCAAGGUCAGCUCCCCUGAAAUGUAUUAGCGGAACAAUCUGUUGACCGUUCAUUGGUGUGAUAGCAUAUCUACGCUAUUGACGUAAAGCAAGUUCAGCUUAUAACAGUCCAUUGACUUGGACAAUUCUCUAUUUAUUAAUGUGACCUCAAAUCAGGUAGGACUACCCGCUGAACUUAA